GUAACUCAGAUUUGUAUACAGUUAAAACGUUUGCCUAAGUUUGCCGCUAGGGGCGCUGUUCCAACUGCAUACAAAUUAGAGUUA
This is a non-coding RNA of Bombyx mori (domestic silkworm), 84 nucleotides long. The record is from Rfam. Lineage: Eukaryota; Metazoa; Arthropoda; Insecta; Lepidoptera; Bombycidae.